Molecule: ribosomal RNA, 274 nt
Filed under: uncultured bacterium
Lineage: Bacteria
Description: partial 16S ribosomal RNA
Rfam family: Bacterial small subunit ribosomal RNA
Source: RNAcentral
AUACGGAGGGUGCGAGCGUUAAUCGGAAUUACUGGGCGUAAAGCGCGCGUAGGCGGCUACUUAAGUCAGAUGUGAAAUCCCCGGGCUCAACCUGGGAACUGCAUCUGAUACUGGGUAGCUAGAGUUUUGGAGAGGGAAGUAGAAUUUCAGGUGUAGCGGUGAAAUGCAUAGAGAUCUGAAGGAAUACCAGUGGCGAAGGCGACUUCCUGGCCAAAAACUGACGCUGAGGUGCGAAAGCGUGGGUAGCAAACGGGAUUAGAAACCCUAGUAGUCC